Molecule: transfer RNA, 85 nt
Filed under: Acidobacteriota bacterium
Lineage: Bacteria; Pseudomonadati; Acidobacteriota
Description: tRNA-Ser
Source: RNAcentral
GGAGGCGUCGCACGAAUGGUAGUGCAGCGGUGUGCUAAGCCGCCGGGCCUCGCGGCCCCUGUGCGUUCGACUCGCACCGCCUCCG